CUUCAAACAAAAUAUUACACGACGAAAUAUCCGCAUUUUCGGAAGGGGCUUCGUUACGAUCGUUUGAUUUGUCGGGCCUAUAACCGGUGCGCGAUAUUGCAAUAAAGGCAAUCCGCGUUUCCACGAUUUUCACUCGCCGGUUGAAUCGAUAGCAAAGAGACUCGUUGUACGUUUUAUAAAGACGAUUAUUUACUAGGGUUUUAUCGAACGAUUGUGUUCAGUAUUUUCAUUUUUGAUCGAACCGCGCGUGUUUUGAUUUCUCUUGGUUUUCACCGUUGCGGUAAUUAAAAAAAAAAAAAAAAAAGAAAGAAAAAAGCCACAAACUAAUUUACGUGGGUGUACGUCAAGAUUUUGCUUUACCCGCGGUCGACAAUAGCGCACGGUGAAAUCGUCGAUAAUUGCUGCAUAACGCCGCGCCGCUAACAUUUCAUCCGGCCAGCGAACACGAUGACGCGAAAAUAAUGGCAGUCGAACAUUGACCGGAAAUACCGCACCGGC
Cinara cedri is the source of this 498-nucleotide non-coding RNA. The record is from the annotation of a GenBank genome assembly. NCBI's taxonomy places the organism in Eukaryota, Metazoa, Arthropoda, Insecta, Hemiptera, Aphididae.